RNAcentral lists this ribosomal RNA (490 nucleotides) under uncultured bacterium. RNAcentral's name for it is "partial 16S ribosomal RNA". It matches the Rfam family "Bacterial small subunit ribosomal RNA", at positions 29 to 505 of the family's 1533-position model. The record is from RNAcentral.
AGUGAACGCUGGCGGUAGGCCUAACACAUGCAAGUCGAACGGCAGCACAGUAAGAGCUUGCUCUUACGGGUGGCGAGUGGCGGACGGGUGAGGAAUACAUCGGAAUCUACUUUUUCGUGGGGGAUAACGUAGGGAAACUUACGCUAAUACCGCAUACGACCUACGGGUGAAAGCAGGGGAUCUUCGGACCUUGCGCGAUUGAAUGAGCCGAUGUCGGAUUAGCUAGUUGGCGGGGUAAAGGCCCACCAAGGCGACGAUCCGUAGCUGGUCUGAGAGGAUGAUCAGCCACACUGGAACUGAGACACGGUCCAGACUCCUACGGGAGGCAGCAGUGGGGAAUAUUGGACAAGGGGCGAAAGCCUGAUCCAGCCAUACCGCGUGGGUGAAGAAGGCCUUCGGGUUGUAAAGCCCUUUUGUUGGGAAAGAAAAGCAGCAGGUUAAUACCCCGCUGUUCUGACGGGACCCAAAGAAUAAGCACCGGCUAACUUCG